UCCUCAUUGGUCUAGUGGUCAUGAUUUCCGCUUGUCAUUGGUUCAAUGUCAAGCGCGGGAGACCAGGGUUCGAUUCCCUGAUGGGGAG
This 88-nucleotide transfer RNA is filed under the name Piedraia hortae CBS 480.64. It matches the Rfam family "tRNA". Rfam says of the family: Transfer RNA (tRNA) molecules are approximately 80 nucleotides in length. Their secondary structure includes four short double-helical elements and three loops (D, anti-codon, and T loops). Lineage: Eukaryota; Fungi; Ascomycota; Dothideomycetes; Capnodiales; Piedraiaceae. The record is from Rfam by way of RNAcentral.